GGUUACAGAGUCCCGCGAUCUGAAAGAAGGAGAUUGUUCGGUGUUUGUGCACUGUUGUUGAGUGUUGGGUCGCAUUGAUACUAUUUACGUGCGUCAAUAUCUUCAAGCUGCUGACAUGGCGACAGAGGAGGCGAGAAACGUGGUCAUAGCCGUAGAUGACAGCGAAUUCUCGGAAUAUGCAUUCGACUUCUAUGUGCAGAAUGUGCAUCACCCCGGCGACAACAUCACGCUCGUCCAUUGCUCGGAGUACGCAUCGCUCAUCCAUGCACCAGCCUUGCUGACCGAUCCAGUAGUUGUGGCAGAGCUGAUUAAAGAGGAAGAGGUCAAGGUCAAACACCUAGUGGAGAAAUACAGUGAGAAGAUGAAGAAAAUACAUGUGGGCGGCAAGGUCAAACAGAUGACUGGCAAGGUCGGGGAGGCAAUUGUCGAGGCUGCCAAGGGAGAGAAUGCUGCAAUGAUCGUUGUCGGGACUCGGGGCAUGGGGAAGAUUAGAAGAACGUUUCUGGGCAGCGUCAGCGACUACUGUCUACAUCACUCACCAGUGCCGGUACUUGUGUGCCGGCAUAAACCAGUGUCCGAACACAAGAAAUAGGUCAUCAAGUCCUAAUAUGGGCAUGUAAUCAAGUACUCAUGUUUCCCAAUUAAAAAGCAGAAUACACUACUAUGAAGAGAGUCAAUGCAAAAACUACUUAGAAAGUAAAUAGGGCUGGGUGAUGGUUUGAAACAAGUAAUAGGACCACGCCCAUAUGUUGUGAGAUUUAAAUAAGUGUGCGUCCACCAAAUGUCAUAUCUUGUGAAGUGAUCAAAGUCUGUAGUCCCAAGGCACCUACUCCAUUCACAGAUGUGAGCCAGUCACACGAACAGGUUGUCUGUGAUCUGGUGUGACACACACACACACAAGCUUGUCACACAUUCAUGUGGUCUGUGAUCUGGUGUGACAGACACAAGUUUGUCACACAUCCAGGAUGUCUGUGAUCUGGUGUGACAGACACAAGUUUGCCACACAUCCAGGAUGUCUGUGAUCUGGUUUGACAGACACAAGUUUGCCACACAUCCAGGUGGUCUGUGAUCUGGUGUGACAGACACAAGUUUGUCACACAUCCAGGAUGUCUGUGAUCUGGUGUGACAGACACAAGUUUGCCACACAUCCAGGAUGUCUGUGAUCUGGUGUGACAGACACAAGUUUGCCACACAUCCAGGUGGUCUGUGAUCUGGUGUGACAGACACAAGUUUGUCACACAUCCAGGAUGUCUGUGAUCUGGUGUGACAGACACAAGUUUGCCACACAUCCAGGAUGUCUGUGAUCUGGUGUGACAGACACAAGUUUGCCACACAUCCAGGAUGUCUGUGAUCUGGUGUGACAGACACAAGUUUGCCACACAUCCAGGAUGUCUGUGAUCUGGUGUGACAGACACAAGUUUGCCACACAUCCAGGAUGUCUGUGAUCUGGUGUGACAGACACAAGUUUGUCACACAUCCAGGAUGUCUGUGAUCUGGUGUGACAGACACAAGUUUGCCACACAUCCAGGAUGUCUGUGAUCUGGUGUGACAGACACAUGUUUGUCACACAUGCAGGUGGUCUGUGAUCUGGUGUGACAGACACAAGUUUGUCACACAUCCAGGAUGUCUGUGAUCUGGUGUGACAGACACAAGUUUGCCACACAUCCAGGUGGUCUGUGAUCUGGUGUGACAGACACAAGUUUGUCACACAUCCAGGAUGUCUGUGAUCUGGUGUGACAGACACAAGUUUGCCACACAUCCAGGAUGUCUAUGAUCUGGUGUGACAGACACAAGUUUGCCACACAUCCAGGAUGUCUGUGAUCUGGUGUGACAGACACAAGUUUGCCACACAUCCAGGAUGUCUGUGAUCUGGUGUGACAGACACAAGUUUGCCACACAUCCAGGAUGUCUGUGAUCUGGUGUGACAGACACAAGCUUGUCACACAUCCAGGAUGUCUGUGAUCUGGUGUGACAGACACAGGUUUGCCACACAUCCAGGAUGUCUGUGAUCUGGUGUGACAGACACAGGUUUGCCACACAUCCAAGUGGUCUGUGAUCUGGUGUGACAGACACACGUUUGUCACACAUGUAGGUGGUCUGUGAUCUGGUGUGACAGACACAAGUUUGUCACACAUCCAGGAUGUCUGUGAUCUGGUGUGACAGACACAAGUUUGCCACACAUCCAGGUGAUCUGUGAUCUGGUGUGACAGACACAAGUUUGCCACACAUCCAGGAUGUCUGUGAUCUGGUGUGACAGACACAAGUUUGUCACACAUCCAGGAUGUCUGUGAUCUGGUGUGACAGACACAAGUUUGUCACACAUCCAGGUGGUCUGUGAUAUGGCUUGGUAUUCUCGCUCCAAUCAGAGUUACUUGUUUGCUCCGUUUGACAAUCAAGGCUAAACAAAGGAGGCAAUGCCUGGUAUAUCCCCCUGCAAAUGUCUAGCCAUUCUGGGAUUCAUUGAGCAAUGCUCCUUUGGAAGUUCAAAUAUAAUCUGAGAGCCGAAGUAUUUUCAAAAUGAAGUGUGCAAAAAACACAGAAAAAAACACGAAAUCCAAUCAAGACGACAAGACAGUUAUAAUGUGAAGUUGAUAUUUUCAUUCACGAGACACUCAUGGACUGUUCUUUUGUUUCCUGCAGAGUUGUGCCCCUUUGACAUGUCAGAAUCCUAUGAUUGUGGGUUUGAGCCCAAGAUUUGCCCUUUGUAUGACCCCUGUUUGUCAGCACACCCGUGCUUCAAGGUGUAUGCCGCCUCACUUGCCACAUGCUCACUUUCCAUUAUCUGAAGACUGAAAUAUGUUUUGUGUAUGUAGAUUGCUCGGUUAGCCCUUCACUGUUUCUAGGAUAAAUAUUCUUGUCUUGAGUACAUCCAGUCAAAAGUAAGCUUGCUAGUUUUCUAGUUGUAUGUUGUGUUCAGAGUUGGAUUGAAAUCAGUGUUGUCUGGCAGCAUCCAUCUUUUUCUUUCUGAAUCUCGGGGCGGUCAGGUAGCCUAGUGUUUGAAGCAUUCGCUCGUCACUCUGAAAACCCGGGUUUGAUUCCCGACAUGGGUACAAUGCGUGAAGCCCAUUUCUUGUGUCCCAUGCUGUGAUAUUGCUGGAAUAUUGCUAAAAGCGGCAUAAAACCAUAUUCACUCACUCACUCACUUUCUGAAUCUCAUUUUAUACACAAUUUAGAGAACUUCAGACAAUAUUUAGUUUGUCUAUUGCUUGUCAAAUCCAAUGAUGUCUUUCUGUCAUGGCCAAUGCAAUCUCUGUUUAAAUGUACUUAAGUGAACAUUAUUUUGCUCAGCUGAAAGCAUUGCUGUGAUUAUGAAGGAAUUGAUUUAUUGAAUUUUUGCCCCAAAUUAUGAUUGAAUACAAUAUUGUAUCAUGAUUUCAGUAUUACUUAAACUGUUAAACUGCCAGCUUCAUGGCACCCACGUCCUAAGGUGAUGAUGCUGGUCUGACUUACAAAGAGCAGCAGGAUCACCGUGACGAAUGUCUACAGACUAUCACUGUUUUUGAGUUGGUCUUCUUGAAUGACUCUGUCCCAUUCCUUGAAGCUAUGUAAUGUCUACAGACUAUCACUGUUACUGAGUUGGUCUUCUUGAAUGACUCUGUCCCAUUCCUUGAAGCUAUGUAAUGUCUUCAGAUUAUCACUGUUACUGAGUUGGUCUUGAAUGACUCUGUCCCAUUCCUUGAAGCUAUGUAAUGUCUUCAGUCUAUCACUGUUUCUGAGUUGGUCUUCUUGAAUGACUCUGUCCCAUUCCUUGAAGCUAUGUAAUGUCUUCAGAUAAUCACUGUUUCUGAGUUGGUCUUCUUGAAUGACUCUGUCCCAUUCCUUGAAGCUAUGUAAUGUCUACAGAUUAUCACUGUUUCUGAGUUGGUCUUCUUGAAUGACUCUGUCCCAUUCCUUGAAGCUAUGUAAUGUCUUCAGAUAAUCACUGUUUCUGAGUUGGUCUUCUUGAAUGACUCUGUCCCAUUCCUUGAAGCUAUGUAAUGUCUUCAGAUUAUCACUGUUUCUGAGUUGGUCUUCUUGAAUGACUCUGUCCCAUUCCUUGAAGCUAUGUAAUGUCUACAGAUUAUCACUGUUUCUGAGUUGGUCUUCUUGAAUGACUCUGUCCCAUUCCUUGAAGCUAUGUAAUGUCUACAGAUUAUCACUGUUUCUGAGUAGGUCUUCUUGAAUGACUCUGUCCCAUUCCUUGAAGCUAUGUAAUAAGGAGCCAUGCUGCUCGUUGUGAAAGGCGACUGGACUGGGUGAAUGUAAUCAGGUGGUGUGGCUCCGUUGAUUGUGUGUCUUGUCUUACCUGAGGUGAGAUGAGGUGAGGUGUUGAUCUGACCUCACCCACUGGUCUUUGUACCUUGUACCAUCUGUGUCUAUAUCUUGUCAGCAAAUCUGUAUCUGUACCUAUGCUGCUGUAAGAAACAAGAGAAAUAACUGGAGAGGAAAUGAACAAGAAAUUGAGUAUCUCAUGUACAUAGUUAUAGAACAAAAAUGUUGGAUUUGGAUGUAUUUCUCAUUUCUUGCUUUGUUGAUAUUUACUUUAUUAUUAUGUAUUGUGCUUCACAUCACCUGAUUUAUGCAACCAAUAUAUUGAAUCUAUCUACAUCCCUAAAUAAUCAUCAGUCAGUAAUAUAUUAUGUUUCAAGUCCCAUAGACCUCCCCCAUCAUCUCCCCCCCUGUCCUUCAACCCCCACUUUAAACACUGCAUCUUCCUGAGGCAGGGCGUUAACUGACUAUCAAAGUCCGACUUGAUCGUCGUGCCACCAGCGGCUGUUACGUGUUAUGUUACCUUCAAUGUCCCUUCUAUGUCCCUCCUAUUGACCAAUUAGAUUCCAUCUCUGAUAUCACUUGCAUUUUCUUCAAACAAAAUGGCGGCACCCAGUCAAGUCGAUCUGAUCGAUAAUCAAGAUCUAAAAUUGUAAUAAAACGGGUCCUAGUAGGUCUUCCUUGAUUGUAAACCAUAUGUGUUAUCAAGGCUUUGACAUUAGGACAUGGACUUACAAUGCCUCACAUGGGUGGACAUGGACUUACAAUGCCUCACAUGGGAGGACAUGGACUUACAAUGCCUCACAUGGGAGGAUUAUGUUUAAAAUAGACUCAAACAUUGUGUAUUUAUCAGCUUUUCAGUACGGUUCAAUAAAUUGCCUCACCAAA
This 5136-nucleotide unclassified non-coding RNA is filed under the name Haliotis rufescens (red abalone). RNAcentral describes it as "universal stress protein in QAH/OAS sulfhydrylase 3'region-like, transcript variant X1". Lineage: Eukaryota; Metazoa; Mollusca; Gastropoda; Lepetellida; Haliotidae. The record is from RNAcentral.